UGGGGAAUCUUCCGCAAUGGACGAAAGUCUGACGGAGCAACGCCGCGUGAGUGAAGAAGGUUUUCGGAUCGUAAAACUCUGUCUUUUGGGGCGAACGUGAGUAUGGUGAACAAUCAUAGUCAGUGACGGUACCAAAGGAGGAAGCCACGGCUAACUACGUGCCAGCAGCCGCGGUAAUACGUAGGUGGCAAGCGUUGUCCGGAAUUAUUGGGCGUAAAGAGCGCGUAGGCGGGAUAGUCAGUCUGUUGUAAAGUGCGGGGCUCAACCCCGUGAUCGCAAUGGAAACAGCUAUUCUUGAGUGCAGGAGAGGAAAGUAGAAUUCCCAGUGUAGCGGUGAAAUGCGUAGAUAUUGGGAGGAACACCAGUGGCGAAGGCGACUUUCUGGACUGUGUCUGACGCUGAGGCGCGAAAGCCAGGGGAGCGAACGGGAUUAGAUACCCCGGUAGUCCCGGCCGUAAAACGAUGGGUACUAGGUGUGGGAGGUAUCGACCCCUUCCGUGCCGGAGUUAACGCAAUAAGUACCCCGCCUGGGGAGUACGGUCGCAAGACUGAAACUCAAAUGAAUUGACGGGGUCAUAGCUGUUUCCUG
RNAcentral lists this ribosomal RNA (589 nucleotides) under uncultured bacterium. RNAcentral's name for it is "partial 16S ribosomal RNA". It matches the Rfam family "Bacterial small subunit ribosomal RNA", at positions 355 to 1376 of the family's 1533-position model. The record is from RNAcentral.